AUUGAACGCUGGCGGCAUGCUUUACACAUGCAAGUCGAACGGCAGCGGGGGCUUCGGCCUGCCGGCGAGUGGCGAACGGGUGAGUAAUGCAUCGGAACGUGCCCAUGUCGUGGGGGAUAACGUAUCGAAAGGUACGCUAAUACCGCAUACGUCCUGAGGGAGAAAGCGGGGGAUCGCAAGACCUCGCGCGAUUGGAGCGGCCGAUGUCGGAUUAGCUAGUAGGUGAGGUAAAGGCUCACCUAGGCGACGAUCCGUAGCGGGUCUGAGAGGAUGAUCCGCCACACUGGGACUGAGACACGGCCCAG
This 305-nucleotide ribosomal RNA is filed under the name uncultured bacterium. Its description in RNAcentral is "bacterial SSU rRNA". It matches the Rfam family "Bacterial small subunit ribosomal RNA", at positions 30 to 334 of the family's 1533-position model. The record is from RNAcentral.